RNAcentral lists this ribosomal RNA (964 nucleotides) under Rugosomyces sp. Its description in RNAcentral is "partial large subunit ribosomal RNA". It matches the Rfam family "Eukaryotic large subunit ribosomal RNA", at positions 35 to 980 of the family's 3401-position model. Lineage: Eukaryota; Fungi; Basidiomycota; Agaricomycetes; Agaricales; Tricholomataceae. The record is from RNAcentral.
AUAGCAUAUCAAUAAGCGGAGGAAAAGAAACUAACAAGGAUUCCCCUAGUAACUGCGAGUGAAGCGGGAAAAGCUCAAAUUUAAAAUCUGGUAGUCUAUGGCUGCCCGAGUUGUAAUCUAGAGAAGCAUUAUCCGCGCUGGACCGUGUACAAGUCUCCUGGAACGGAGCGUCAUAGAGGGUGAGAAUCCCGUCUUUGACACGGACUACCAGGGCUUUGUGAUGUGCUCUCAAAGAGUCGAGUUGUUUGGGAAUGCAGCUCUAAAUGGGUGGUAAAUUCCAUCUAAAGCUAAAUAUUGGCGAGAGACCGAUAGCGAACAAGUACCGUGAGGGAAAGAUGAAAAGAACUUUGAAAAGAGAGUUAAACAGUACGUGAAAUUGUUGAAAGGGAAACGCUUGAAGUCAGUCGCGUCUAUUGGGGAUCAGCCUUGCUCUUUUGCGUGGUGUAUUUCCUGAUGGACGGGUCAGCAUCAAUUUUGACCAGUGGAAAAAGGCUAGGGGAAUGUGGCAUCUUCGGAUGUGUUAUAGCCCUUGGUUGUAUACAUUGGUUGGGAUUGAGGAACUCAGCACGCCGCAAGGCCGGGUCUUUGACCACGUUCGUGCUUAGGAUGCUGGCAUAAUGGCUUUAAUCGACCCGUCUUGAAACACGGACCAAGGAGUCUAACAUGCCUGCGAGUGUUUGGGUGGAAAACCCAUGCGCGUAAUGAAAGUGAAAGUUGAGAUCCCUGUCGUGGGGAGCAUCGACGCCCGGACCAGACCUUCUGUGACGGAUCCGCGGUAGAGCAUGUAUGUUGGGACCCGAAAGAUGGUGAACUAUGCCUGAAUAGGGUGAAGCCAGAGGAAACUCUGGUGGAGGCUCGUAGCGAUUCUGACGUGCAAAUCGAUCGUCAAAUUUGGGUAUAGGGGCGAAAGACUAAUCGAACCAUCUAGUAGCUGGUUCCUGCCGAGCCCUCUUCUCUCGGGUUA